CAAAACCCUCUGUGGCUUAAGUCGUGAAACUAUCCUGGUCUUUAUAGAUCCUUCUGGUAUAAAAGGAAAGCCUGUACAAGAAUUCUGCUUAUCAAAUAAUCCCUGUAGAGAAGAUAAGUACGAUCAAUGACUUUUGAUUUACUUUGUGCAUCAAAAGCACACUGCUCUGUCUUCAACAGCACAGCUACUAAACAGCAUGUCCUUGUGAAAAUGCUGGUACGCUUCUCAGCAACUCAGUCAGCAGGCUGUCCUCGGUACGCCUGCAGCAGCUCCAGCAGUGUGUCCACACAGUGUUCAGCAUCGCGAAUGGCUGAGAUCAUACUUUGCCCCAUUCAGCAAUGCUUGGACAGCAUAUCCAACAACUUCCAUACAAGGAACACUACGAUUACAGCUUCGGAUUACAACAAAGAUCGCAGAGAGCGCUCCGCUUUCAGCCAUGUUCUCACAGCAAAAUGGAGAUAACUUGGUAACAACCUCCAGGUUCAUCGCACCCAGAGUGGCCGAUGAGUGUCUGUAUGUGAGCAGGUGAUGAAUGAAGUGCACGCUCAGUUCUUCUGUACAGCUUGUUUUCCUCCUCCACGUUCCUGCUGACACCUCAAAGGCUUCAUCAAAUAGCUUUAGUUUCUGUGCAAUCAUUUUUCUUCUUCAAAGCAUAGCCUCUCCAUAAUGCCUGGAUUCUAGUGAGCUGCUAGGAGAAAGCGGCAUACUGCCUUCUGUGUCAUGGAUGCAGCCCUAUCCUGCUGGUGCCAACAUGCUGAAACUUCACGUCCAGCCUUUAUGAUCGUAUGAUACUGGACAGUUUUUAAGAUGUAUUUAUUGGCUAUCAAUAUUUUUAGUUAAGUAGUAAUGCAACUGUUUGUGAUUCUUUUUGGAAACAGUCUGUUCAGUCUAUUUGCCCAUUUAUUGAUUAGCUCAUUGGGGAUAUUGGUGUUUGAUUAAAAAACAAACAUUUAGUUCUUUAUGUAUUUCAAACAUUAAUCUUAUCACAAGUGAAACUGGCAAAGACUUCAUGCUCCAUGUACUUUGAUUUUAGAAUUUUUUUCUUAUUCUAAAAUAGUUUAUUUAAACAUACCAGGAAGUAUAAGGAAAAUAAAGUGUGUGAUUUAUCACCAUU
Molecule: long non-coding RNA, 1114 nt
Filed under: Rattus norvegicus (Norway rat)
Lineage: Eukaryota; Metazoa; Chordata; Mammalia; Rodentia; Muridae
Description: long non-coding RNA NONRATT029518
Source: RNAcentral